AGACGCAGGUAAGAGGGCGCAGAGAGGGGAGGCGUCUGUGCCUGCAGACUGCAGUGUAUCCCCCUGCAGGCCGGCCGGUUGAUUACUUGAUUGCAUCGUUCCCCUCCAAUUAGCAGAAUAUCAUGGAAGGGAUCCCUAACCUCGGCCGGCACUCGCAGAUUCUGCCCAUAACAAAUCCCCGGAAACAAAAGAAUAAGGAGAAAAACACAGAUCAAGAUAGGAGCAACAGCAACAGCCCUUGGCCUCUGAUAGCGAUCGGCUUGCUACUUUCGUUGCUGCUGUUUUUGCUGGUGUACAAGACAUUGCUGGAUGCGCCGCUGGUGGUCCAGUUCGCCGCUGUCAAACAGAAGGCACGCCGUCUCCUCUAGCAAAAGCUCUACAUACGCCUCGUAAUAAUUAUUGAUCUCGUCUCAAGUCUCAACUCGAUCGUUCAGAUACCAUGCAUACCAGUUCGUCGUCAUAGAUUCGGUUUGUGCCUAUACAUCUGCUUAAUUCUAGUUUUGGUUGUUGGUGAUCCUGUGAUCUUUCCAUUAAUUCAGUGUGGAGUAUUGUAUCAUCUUAAUUAUGUCAGAAAUAGAUUCUGGUGUUGAUUGCUUGUACUGUUGACGCAUGCACAGCAGAUCUCUCAAGGUGAAAUGAUUUCUAAGACAAUUUCACCCUCCAGUUCUCUGUAUAUGCAUGAUUCGACCGCCUAGUGUGUUUGAUAAGAGAGUUCUAGCACUGUGUCCAGGAAAAUAAUCACUUCCCUGUAUGUGUGACGAACCUUUAGAUGUGUUUUUUUGGAUUCGCAGUACAGUAUAUACAAUUUUAAUUUAAUGACA
Long non-coding RNA from Oryza sativa Japonica Group (Japanese rice), 821 nucleotides. RefSeq lists it as uncharacterized. Lineage: Eukaryota; Viridiplantae; Streptophyta; Magnoliopsida; Poales; Poaceae. The record is from RefSeq and is a predicted model, not a curated record.